CACCAGGUUGAUUCUGCCUGACGUAGACGCUAUACUCUAAGAUUAACCCAUGCAUGUUUAUUGAAUAUAAAGAAAAGACGAACAGCUCAGUAACUCUUAUUUGAUUUGAUGUAUUAGGAUUCUAACUAUGUUAAAUUAUAGGUAACAAUAAUACAAUAAGAAUAAGAUCUAUCAGUUAGUUGUUAAGGUAAUGGCUUAACAAGACUAUGACGGAUAACGGUAUUACUUUGUAAUAUUCCGGAGAAGGAGCCUGAGAGAUUGCUACUAAGUCUAAGGAUUGCAGCAGGGGCGAAACUUGACCUAUGAUAUUAUAUUGAGGCAGUUAUGAGUAGUAUUUUAUAAUUAUUGUAGUAUUGUAAGUACAUAUUACAAGAUAAAUCGGAGGGCAAAUCGAGUGCCAGCAGCCGCGGUAAUACUUGUUCCGAUAGUGUGUAUGAUGAUUGAUGCAGUUAAAAAGUCUGUAGUUUAUUUUAUAAUAAGCAUUGUAAGGUAUACUGUAUGGUUAGGAGAGAGAUGAAAUGUGAUAACCCUAACUGGAUGAACAGAAGCGAAAGCUGUAUACUUAAAUGUAUUAUUAGAACAAGGACGUAAGCUAGAGGAUCGAAGAUGAUUAGAUACCAUUGUAGUCCUAGCGGUAAACUAUGUUGAAUCAUAGAUAUAUUUUGAUAUAUAUUUAUGUAGAGAAAUUAAGAUUAUAUUGACUCUGGGGAUAGUAUGAUCGCAAGAUUGAAAAUUAAAGAAAUUGACGGAAGAAUACCACAAGGAGUGGAUUGUGCGGCUUAAUUUGACUCAACGCGGGGUAAUUUACCAGGUAUAACAUGAUAUAAUAUUUUAUCAUGAUAGUGGUGCGUGGCCGUUUUCAAUGGAUGCUGUGAAGUAAUGAUUAAUUUCAACAAGAUGUGAGACCCUCAUUUAGACAGAUGUAGUGAUACAUAUGAAGGAGAGGAUUAAAACAGGUCCGUUAUGCCCUAAGAUAAUCUGGGUUGCACGCGCAAUACAAUAAUAUUUGAUAUUAUAAGGGAUAAUAUAAUGUAAGAUAUAUUUGAACAUGGAAUUGCUAGUAAAUUUUAUUUAAUAAGUAGAAUUGAAUGAGUCCCUGUUCUUUGUACA
Molecule: ribosomal RNA, 1110 nt
Filed under: Nosema bombycis
Lineage: Eukaryota; Fungi; Microsporidia; Nosematidae
Description: SSU rRNA
Rfam family: Microsporidia small subunit ribosomal RNA
Source: RNAcentral